AUGGCAAGGAUCGGAUUGGAGGGAGAGAACAGGACAAGCUCGUCCUGGGUGCUGUUUGAACGGCAGCAGCGCAGUGCAGGGAGGAGGCUGUGGGUUGUGAAGGCUGACCCCAGACCUUGCUUGUGCUGGUUGGGGAACCCCAGGGGCUCCCUUAGGUUCUCUGGCUGGAGGGAAGGAAGUAGCCCUGGCCCAGGAGAUUGCGGUCACAUUGGAGUCUUUGAGGAGUAGGGGACUGGGUCACCUCCCCAGCCGCCCUUCUCCCUCCGGCCCUACACUUCAGGUUGACUUUUCCUGAGGUCCACCCGUCUGUCCAGUUCUUUAGUGCCUUGAAUCUCGUUCACAGCAGCCCCCUCCUUCUAGCCCCUCCUCUGGCCUCUUUGAUGUAGUUCUCCCCUGCCCCCAAUACCUCUCCUGGGACAGACAUCAAAAGAGGCCCUAACAGUUACUUCCCAAAUGGCGCUCUCUGGAACACCGUCACUACGUUGGGGGCGGUUUCUUUGCACCUCUCUCAUCUUCAGAAUGUAAAGGGUGGGGGUUGUGACUCCGUGUCACGUGCAGCCCCAGCGCAUUGUGGGGAUUUAGGCAUGUUCACUAGUGAGAAUGGUAGCAGUAGACCACAAGGGGUGUGAUAAGUGAAGCAUUAACUUGGUUGUUCUGGAUAUGAACCAGGUCUCGGGGCAGAGCCUGGAGCUGCUAUUGGUGGGGAAGUCGUAUGUGCCUUGAAAUGUCCACUACCUGAAGACCCAGCGUCUGGUGGGCCGGGGGUGCCGGGGCCCGAGGAGGAACUUGCCCUCCUGGUGCCUGCCCCCUCCCCGGCCUGCGUGCCAUCAGUGGGGGGUGUGUGAUGCUAGGUUAGCGUGGCCGGUUCCUUACCAAUUGUGCUUGCUUCUCCUAAGUUAUUUAUAAAGAGAAAUCACUAAUGGACUCUGCUGGUUCCAGUGCUUCUGAACUGGAUGAACGAUCGCCCAUAUGUUUGUAUGAUUAAUUGCCAUAAUAAACGUUGAUGAGUUAC
This is an RNA transcript of Propithecus coquereli (Coquerel's sifaka), 1012 nucleotides long. RefSeq lists it as uncharacterized. NCBI's taxonomy places the organism in Eukaryota, Metazoa, Chordata, Mammalia, Primates, Indriidae. The transcript has 2 exons. The record is from RefSeq and is a predicted model, not a curated record.